Molecule: unclassified non-coding RNA, 379 nt
Filed under: soil metagenome
Description: partial contains 5.8S ribosomal RNA, internal transcribed spacer 2, and large subunit ribosomal RNA
Rfam family: 5.8S ribosomal RNA (bases 1-120)
Source: RNAcentral
GAUGAAGAACGUAGCGAAAUGCGAUAAGUAAUGUGAAUUGCAGAAUUCAGUGAAUCAUCGAAUCUUUGAACGCACCUUGCACCCUUUGGCAUUCCGAAGGGUAUGCUCGUUUGAGUGUCAUUGUACUCUCACACUUCCAAUCUUUGGAUUGGGAGCAGUGGACUUGGGUGUUGCUGCUUACUGUGGCUCACCUCAAAUCGAUUCGUGCACCUCUUGGUUGGACAUAGUACGGCGUGAUAAGUGUCUUCGCCGGCACCUCAGUAGAGGGUGGCUGAUCAGGAGCUCUGUGCUUCAAACCGUCCUCGGACAACAACUGACAACUUGACCUCAAAUCGAGUAGGACUUCCCGCUGAACUUAAGCAUAUCAAUAAGCGGAGGA